Molecule: long non-coding RNA, 636 nt
Filed under: Capsicum annuum
Lineage: Eukaryota; Viridiplantae; Streptophyta; Magnoliopsida; Solanales; Solanaceae
Description: long non-coding RNA (CANN_LNC003043)
Source: RNAcentral
AAUGUUGAGUCAGCUGAAUUUUCCAACCCUUAUUCUUACUGGUGCCUUCCAUCAGUAAAAAGAUUUAGUACUCUUGUUCUUACUUGGGAAAAUCACUAACCAUACAUAUUACUUUUAUAUAAGACCUCAUAUUAUUCGAUGCAUAGAUACUUUUACUUAUUUACUAAGCAUAAAAAUAAUUUCGAAAUAUAACAUAUUUGGACUUUAAACAUACCCAUGAUUUUAUGCCCAAGUUUUGGAAGAGAAAAUCUGAUUUUUGUAAACUGAUUUCAGUACUCUUCAUUAAAUUUCUUUUUAAUUUCAAAUGUUCCGCUCCGCAAUGUUGUUAUAAGGUGCGAUUUGUCAUGCCCCCAGCCCAGCAGGUGCGAACAAGAAAGAUCUGUGAAAACAGAUAUCGGAGUCAGUACAAAUCUACUAUAGAGUUCACUGUGCAAAAUUGUAUUACUGAUAAACUGUAUAUGUUUAAUAAGCCGUCUGUAUUGACCAACUUGGUCGGGAUAGGCCCCACUUACUCAACUGUAAUAUAUAGCCAAGAAGAUAAGACAUCUUAUAGCUCCAGAUAGAGGCUAUGAAGCUCACCAAAAAUUAGCUGAAAUGGCAACUGUGCCUUACUGAGCAUAUCUGUUGUCAUGUGAA